Molecule: ribosomal RNA, 459 nt
Filed under: uncultured bacterium
Lineage: Bacteria
Description: partial 16S ribosomal RNA
Rfam family: Bacterial small subunit ribosomal RNA
Source: RNAcentral
CCUACGGGGGGCAGCAGUGAGGAAUAUUGGUCAAUGGUCGCGAGCCUGAACCAGCCAAGUCGCGUGAGGGAUGACGGUCCUAUGUAUUGUAAACCUCUUUUGUCGGGGAGCAAAAGACGCCACGCGUGGCGUUCCGAGAGUACCCGAAGAAAAAGCAUCGGCUAACUCCGUGCCAGCAGCCGCGGUAAUACGGGGGAUGCGAGCGUUAUCCGGAUUUAUUGGGUUUAAAGGGUGCGCAGGCGGAAGAUCAAGUCAGCGGUAAAAUUGAGGGGCUCAACCUCUUCGAGCCGUUGAAACUGGUUGUCUUGAGUGGGUGAGAAGUAUGCGGAAUGCGUGGUGUAGCGGUGAAAUGCAUAGAUAUCACGCAGAACUCCGAUUGCGAAGGCAGCAUACCGGCGCUCAACUGACGCUCAUGCACGAAAGUGUGGGUAUCGAACAGGAUUAGAUACCCUUGUAGUC